CUGCGAAUGGCUCAUUAUAUAAGUUAUCGUUUAUUUGAUAGUACCUUACUACUUGGAUAACCGUGGUAAUUCUAGAGCUAAUACAUGCUAAAAAUCCCGACUUCGGAAGGGAUGUAUUUAUUAGAUUAAAAACCAAUGCCCUCUGGGCUCUCUGGUGAUUCAUAAUAACUUCUCGAAUCGCAUGGCCUUGCGCCGGCGAUGGUUCAUUCAAAUUUCUUCCCUAUCAACUUUCGAUGUUUGGGUAGUGGCCAAACAUGGUUGCAACGGGUAACGGAGGGUUAGGGCUCGACCCCGGAGAAGGAGCCUGAGAAACGGCUACUACAUCCAAGGAAGGCAGCAGGCGCGCAAAUUACCCAAUCCCGAUUCGGGGAGGUAGUGACAAUAAAUACUGAUACAGGGCUCUUUUGGGUCUUGUAAUUGGAAUGAGUACAAUUUAAAUCCCUUAACGAGGAACAAUUGGAGGGCAAGUCUGGUGCCAGCAGCCGCGGUAAUUCCAGCUCCAAUAGCGUAUAUUAAAGUUGUUGUGGUUAAAAAGCUCGUAGUUGAACCUUGGGCCUGGCUGGCCGGUCCGCCUCACCGCGUGUACUGGUCCGGCCGGGCCUUUCCCUCUGCGGAACCCCAUGCCCUUCACUGGGUGUGGCGGGGAAGCAGGACUUUUACUUUGAAAAAAUUAGAGUGCUCCAGGCAGGCCUAUGCUCGAAUACAUUAGCAUGGAAUAAUGAAAUAGGACGUGCGGUUCUAUUUUGUUGGUUUCUAGGACCGCCGUAAUGAUUAAUAGGGACAGUCGGGGGCAUCAGUAUUCAAUUGUCAGAGGUGAAAUUCUUGGAUUUAUUGAAGACUAACUACUGCGAAAGCAUUUGCCAAGGAUGUUUUCAUUAAUCAGGAACGAAAGUUAGGGGAUCGAAGACGAUCAGAUACCGUCGUAGUCUUAACCAUAAACUAUGCCGACUAGGGAUCGGACGAUGUUAUUUUUUGACUCGUUCGGCACCUUACGAGAAAUCAAAGUGC
This 1008-nucleotide ribosomal RNA is filed under the name Metarhizium huainamdangense. Its description in RNAcentral is "SSU rRNA". It matches the Rfam family "Eukaryotic small subunit ribosomal RNA", at positions 87 to 1106 of the family's 1831-position model. Lineage: Eukaryota; Fungi; Ascomycota; Sordariomycetes; Hypocreales; Clavicipitaceae. The record is from RNAcentral.